This 866-nucleotide ribosomal RNA is filed under the name Calonectria pseudomexicana. Its description in RNAcentral is "partial large subunit ribosomal RNA". It matches the Rfam family "Eukaryotic large subunit ribosomal RNA", at positions 58 to 956 of the family's 3401-position model. Lineage: Eukaryota; Fungi; Ascomycota; Sordariomycetes; Hypocreales; Nectriaceae. The record is from RNAcentral.
AAAGAAACCAACAGGGAUUGCCCUAGUAACGGCGAGUGAAGCGGCAACAGCUCAAAUUUGAAAUCUGGCCCUCGGGUCCGAGUUGUAAUUUGUAGAGGAUGCUUUUGGUGAGGUACCUUCCGAGUUCCCUGGAACGGGACGCCAUAGAGGGUGAGAGCCCCGUCUGGUUGGAUACCGAUCCUCUGUAAAGCUCCUUCGACGAGUCGAGUAGUUUGGGAAUGCUGCUCUAAAUGGGAGGUAUAUGUCUUCUAAAGCUAAAUACCGGCCAGAGACCGAUAGCGCACAAGUAGAGUGAUCGAAAGAUGAAAAGCACUUUGAAAAGAGAGUUAAAAAGUACGUGAAAUUGUUGAAAGGGAAGCGCUUAUGACCAGACUUGGGCUUGGUUGAUCAUCCUGGGUUCUCCCUGGUGCACUCUUCCAGUUCAGACCAGCAUCAGUUCGCUGCGGGGGAUAAAAGUUUUGGGAAUGUGGCUCCCUCGGGAGUGUUAUAGCCCAUUGCAUAAUACCCUGCUCCGGACUGAGGUUCGCGCAUCUGCAAGGAUGCUGGCGUAAUGGUCAUCAGCGACCCGUCUUGAAACACGGACCAAGGAGUCGUCUUCGUAUGCGAGUGUUCGGGUGUUAAACCCCUACGCGUAAUGAAAGUGAACGCAGGUGAGAGCUUCGGCGCAUCAUCGACCGAUCCUGAUGUUCUCGGAUGGAUUUGAGUAAGAGCAUACGGGGCCGGACCCGAAAGAAGGUGAACUAUGCCUGUAUAGGGUGAAGCCAGAGGAAACUCUGGUGGAGGCUCGCAGCGGUUCUGACGUGCAAAUCGAUCGUCAAAUAUGGGCAUGGGGGCGAAAGACUAAUCGAACCUUCUAGUAGCUGGUU